This 463-nucleotide unclassified non-coding RNA is filed under the name Melitaea cinxia (Glanville fritillary). RNAcentral's name for it is "misc RNA ENSMCXG00005003655.1". Lineage: Eukaryota; Metazoa; Arthropoda; Insecta; Lepidoptera; Nymphalidae. The record is from RNAcentral.
AACCGAUUUUGAUAAUUCUUUUUUUUUUUUAUUUUAAUUUUUUUUUUUUUUUUUUUUUUUUUUUUUUUUUUUUUUUUUUUUUUUUUUUUUUUUUUUUUUUUUUUUUUUUUUUUUUUUAAAUAUAUAGACUAGCGCUUGACUGCGAUCUCACCCGAAGUCAAGUGAAGAUGCAGCCUAAGGUGGUGCGCGCUUGCCUAGAAGAUGCCUAUUCACUCUUGAUUUAAAGAUACCUAAGUUAUAGUUCGUUGGAAAAACGGAAGCCGGAAGGGCAUUCCAAAUUUUAGCGGUGCGAAUUAGGAACGAGGAAGCAAAUCGUUUAGUGCGAGAUCGUGGGAUUUCAACCACAUAGCGGUGCAGAUUCAUGCGAUGCCUUGCGGUUCGGUGGUAGAAAGGUGAUGGUGGAAUCAAAUUGUAUAGUUCUAGAGCACACUCUCCGAAAUAUAACCUGUAAAAUACCGACAAA